GAAGCUUCGACUAAGGUUCGAUUCGAGCGAAAGCGAGAAAGCGUUGCCGCAGGCAACGACCCGAAGGGCGAAGCGCGCAGCGCUGAGUCAUCCUUCCCCCACCACCA
This 107-nucleotide small RNA is filed under the name Salmonella enterica subsp. enterica serovar Senftenberg. RNAcentral's name for it is "partial RtT sRNA". It matches the Rfam family "RtT RNA", at positions 26 to 130 of the family's 130-position model. Rfam says of the family: This family represents a bacterial cis-regulatory element known as RtT RNA. The exact function of RtT is unknown although it is thought that it may be involved in changing the cellular response in relation to amino acid starvation. Lineage: Bacteria; Pseudomonadati; Pseudomonadota; Gammaproteobacteria; Enterobacterales; Enterobacteriaceae. RNAcentral also lists the same sequence under 4 other names. The record is from RNAcentral.